UUUCCGUAGGUGAACCUGCGGAAGGAUCAUUACAGAGUUCAUGCCCUCACGGGUAGAUCUCCCACCCUUGAAUAUUUAUACCCUAGUUGCUUUGGCAGGCCGUGGAAACACCAUGGGCUCCGGCUUAUGCGUACCUGCCAGAGGAAACAAACUCUGUUCUUAGUGAUGUCUGAGUACUAUAUAAUAGUUAAAACUUUCAACAACGGAUCUCUUGGUUCUG
RNAcentral lists this unclassified non-coding RNA (220 nucleotides) under plant metagenome. RNAcentral's name for it is "partial contains small subunit ribosomal RNA, internal transcribed spacer 1, and 5.8S ribosomal RNA". The record is from RNAcentral.